GACCCGCUAGCUCAGUUUGGUAGAGCAUCUCCCUUUUAAGGAGAGGGUCCUUGGUUCGAGCCCAAGGCGGGUCA
RNAcentral lists this transfer RNA (74 nucleotides) under Bdellovibrionales bacterium. RNAcentral describes it as "tRNA-Lys". It matches the Rfam family "tRNA". Rfam says of the family: Transfer RNA (tRNA) molecules are approximately 80 nucleotides in length. Their secondary structure includes four short double-helical elements and three loops (D, anti-codon, and T loops). The record is from RNAcentral. Lineage: Bacteria; Pseudomonadati; Bdellovibrionota; Bdellovibrionia; Bdellovibrionales.